This 646-nucleotide long non-coding RNA is filed under the name Marmota monax (woodchuck). Lineage: Eukaryota; Metazoa; Chordata; Mammalia; Rodentia; Sciuridae. The record is from RNAcentral.
UGAUUAGCACAACGCAUUUGUUUAUCGGUUUAUGCCUUACAGCUGUGCCAGGGAGAUGGCGCCUGUUUACUUGUGCAAACAAGGUGUAGAGUCCUCUCACCUCAGCACUAAACUCAGAAUGGAGCAGCUUACGGACAACCCCUGCUGACAAAAUGGAGUAGCAGAGGCUCCGACACAGCCGAGAACCGCUGCUCUGUACGUGGUGGACUAACUCAGAGCUGCCCACACACAGGCAGUGCUAAUCCACACAAUGGAAUAGUUACCCUAAAAAGGUGGUACCAUUGCACACUGCAACAUAGGUGAAAGCGUCAGGCUAAGUGAAGGAAGUCAGACCCAAAAGGAUAACACAUAUUGCAUGAUUCCAUGAAAUAUCCAGAACAGGCAGUUUGGGGUUGCCAGGGUUGGGGAUAAGGGGAGAUGGGAAGGGACCGUUUAGUGGAUAUGAGGUUUCCCCAGGUGGUGAGAAAACGUGAUGCAUUCACAACAUGGUGAAUGUACUGAAAGUUCACUUUACAGUGGCAAAAGGGGUGAAUUUUAUGUUGUAUGGAUUUUGUCUCAUUCUUUAAAAAGCCUGUAUUAGACUAAGCAAGUGUUGGCAUAGAAACUAAUUCUUUGACUAGUGCUGAAGACCAGUAGCUUAGUAAGC